Molecule: non-coding RNA, 3940 nt
Organism: Oryctolagus cuniculus (rabbit)
Lineage: Eukaryota; Metazoa; Chordata; Mammalia; Lagomorpha; Leporidae
Source: RefSeq, a predicted model, not a curated record
CGUCGCCCUCCCACGGGUGUUUCUGUAGCACCUGCCCCGCGCAGGCAGGACGGCGUUCUGGGGCGUGCAUGGCUGCCCCUCGCCGACCCGCCCACUGUGUUCCGGCGGAAGUGCGCCCACUGUGUUCCGGCGGAAGUGCCGUGUCAUCUUGGCGCGUUUCAGUCUCGUUUCACAAAUGCCAGAGCCAGACCCAGAGAGUUGAGAACCUGCCCGCCGUCUCACGGCCAGAAAGCCAGACUCCACAUCUUCCUGUCCUGCUCCACGUGCGGAAGCACCCGGAGCUGCUCCCCACCCGUGGCAGAGUGGCAGCCUCGGUCCCCGGUGCCUCACCAGGAACAUGACGGGCCGUUAAUCCAGGACAGACAUUUGGCACAGCUGUUACGAGACCUUGUGGGACACCGCCAGCCUCUGUUGCCGUAACUGGGUUCAAAUCCCGGCUCUGCUUCCAGCCACAGCUUCCUGCUGCACACCCUGGGAGGCCAGGUGGUGUCUCGGUUACUUGAGUCCCUGCCUCCACCGUCACGGCAGAUCUGGAUGGGGCUCUGCCUCUCCGGGCUUUGGCAUUUGGGGAGUGAACCAGCAGAUUGGGGGAAAAAAAAAAAAUCUGUCUCUUUCUGUCUUUCAAAUACGUCCAUAAAAUUUUUUUUCCAAAGCUUUUACUGUCCAUAAAAAUUUUUUAAAUAUUUUUGCACCAAAAUGAACUCCUCUUUAAUCCCACUGCAUGAGCUUUCCGAAGCGCCCUCACAGAGGGGCAGAGAGCAUGGCUAAGGGGUCAGGAAAGCCGCCCUGAGGAGGGGACGCUGGUGUUCCGUCUCAGGUGGAAGGGACAGCACAUGUGACAGCCAGGAGUGGCUGGAGCCCGGGCGCUGCGGCCGGAAGUGCAGGAGGCCUGGAUGGCUGGCGUCAGGCGCAGGGUGUGGCUGCAGGGGCUGCAGGCCCCACUGAGCCACCCUGGGGUCUGGGUCUCAGUUUGGGCCAAGGGAGGGCUCUAAGCCAGGAGGCAGCCCGACCUGACUUAAAUUCCGAAGCAGCGGCCCCACGCCUGCCGCGGUCCCAGCCCGAGAGCGGAGCUGCUGGUGCCGCGAGGCUCUGUGCGCGUAAACCGAAACCAGAUGGGUGUUCUUCUGCUUCCCAGGCAAUUGUUGGGCGCGAUCCCUCGCUCUGCCGCUCCCACACCCAGCGUGAUUGGAAAAUUCGGGGUCACUGCUGCCCAGAGCCCUCGCUGCGCGGGGAGCUUUCCAGCCUCGGGAACAACCCCCGUUCCUUACACGCCUCUCUCAUCAUCAUCAUCGCUGCUCGCUGCCUCAGACGCUCAGUGCCCCCACCCGCUCUGUCUGCCUUCCCCACCCCCAGGAUGUCGGCACAACCCAGCCCAGUGGGGGGCAGAUUUGUUCUCAGACACCACACGCGUGGCAGAACUGCCAAGGAGCGGUGGGAUUCGUGGUCAGGUGGAUCGGGGGGGUGGGGGGGAGCUGCAGGCGCUUUGGAGGCAGGAAGGGGUGGGCUUGUUCUGGUUCUGGCGAGAAGGUGGGCUGAGAUCACACACGCACACCCACGCCCUCGCUGCAAGCGUCUCAAAUGCUGGCUGAAGUGCUCACGGCCCCACCCACAAACGCUGAUGCAGGGCUGUGUCCAUCAGGAAGCAAGGACAGCCCCUGAUGAAGAGCGCUGAAAACCAGAACCCAGAGUGGAUGAGGCCAUGCUGGGGCCGGGCGGACGUCCAGACGAGGCACGGGCGUUGCAGGCCACGGCGCUGGGUCCCCCUGCCGCCUCUCGCUCCCCCAACCACCCUUUAACAAUGUAACAGCCAUCCUGAGCUCGAGGCUUGUACAGAAACCCACCAUGGCCAGGUUUGGUCCGUGGACCGCAGUCUGCACACCUGUGAUGCAGCCGAGGCGCCUGUCACCUGCCAGGGAGGGGAGCAGACCUAAGACCCCGAGCAGGGAGAGACCCUCACGCCACCAGAUCAUCAGCGAAGGAGGCCGCAGCACAGACAGCACCAGGCAGCCUGCCGGGUUGUUGUCUAGACCUUUCUGGGUGCUCACAAUCUUGGGGACACUGUGUUCACGUUUCGGGUUUAAGAUGGGCCUCAUCUCCCCAGCACCUAGAGGAGAUGAGGACGGGAUGUAGGAAGUCUGUGAGCUUAAGCGGAAAAGCCAGUUGCACUGUUGUUUUCAUUAACAUUUAGCAUUUUCUUCCAUUACAACCCACCGUGGUGUUGGCAGUGCCCAUUGCUUUGUCACUAGCAGAAAUCAGAUAUUUCCGUAGCAAAAUAGAGGAUGGGACGUACCUAUGGGUAGAGAAGCAUACUUCUGUGUAUUUGGAAAUUCAAGAAGGUCAGAGAGAUUGUUGUUGGAAUUUUUUUUUUUAAGUAUUUAGAAGUUAGAAACUGGCAGUGAAAUUAUCGCAUAUCAAAAUUUGUAGGCUUAGGGGCAUUUUUAAAGAGUAGAAAAUGAGUUAGUUUUCAAGGAAAUUGGAGGAGGGACAACAAAGCGAGUUGUAAGAACAUCUUUGGAGUUAAUAAAAAUAAAAGCCAAAAUUUGUAAAACAACAGCUGCCAGGGACGAUCCACAGGGCUGAAACUCGUUCUUGGAAAAGAUGAAUUGGUAGAAAAGGAGGACGCACGCUUGUGGCGAGGGUGCUGAAGAACAGACGUACUGCAAAUGCAGAGACACGAAUGGGGCAUUUAAGUUGUAGGAGGACCCGGUGGGCAGUACGCCCGUCAUCUUGAGAAAGCUGGCUCUUUCUAGAACCAUGUAACUUAACCAGACCAACUCGAGGAAAAGGGAAAACAGGACUCCCAACAGGAGACAUGGACCCCGGCGUGCCGCCAGGAGCCCGAGCAGCCAGUCAUUCCUCCAUUCAUUCGACAAACUCUGAGUCUCCACUCCGGGCGUUGUUGGUAGAUGCUGGCAGCAGAGCAGUGAAAACCCCAUCCUGCGCCUUUCCUGUGAUGGAAGAAGGGUUCUUUGAUUGUCUCAGUCCAGUGUGACAGCCACUGGCCAGCCCUGACUGUUGGGCUUGUGCAGUGCGGUUAGUGCAACUGAGAAACUGAAGUUUUGACUUUAUUUUUUUUAAAUUAUUUAUUUAAAAGGCAGACUGACAGAUCUUCUGUCCUCUGGUUCACUCCCCAAAUGCCUAAAGCAGCCAGGGGCUGGGCCACGCCAAAGCCAGGACCUAGGAGCUCCAUCGGGGUCUCCCACAUGGGUGGCAGAAACGCAGAUACGGGGACCCUCAUCUGCUGCCUCCCAGGUCCAUUUGCAGGACGCUGGAUUGGAAGCAGAGGAGGGACUCAAUCCCAAGCACUCCGGUACGAGAGGUGGACUAACCCUCCUGUGCCACAGCACCCACCCCAGCUUUGGUAACUUGGUUUCUAUGGCAACACUGGGGCAGUGAGCAUGGAAGGCGGUGAGCUCCUUGCACAAGUGCCGUGUGCUCUUGGGCCCACUUCAUCAGUGCCACGCAAGGGAGCUGGCAAUCGUAAGAGCCAGACACGUGGCCCCGUGCAGGAGGGCAGAGGCUGCACCUUGUGUUCCAGGAAACACUAAUACAAAAACCACAGAUAAGAAGCAACGGCCCUCUGGUGUGUGUGUGGUGGGGGGGAUACAUCUCCAGGUGGGGGCUCGAGGAUCCUGGGCUCGGGAGGCCAGGGUGAAGCCACGUGGAGAGUGGAUUCCGGAAGCAGCACCUCUCUGCUUCCUCGACGCUCCAUCAGGGCGCGAUCCGACUGGGCAGUGGGAGUGGCCGUCUUCAGCAGCUCCUGCUCUCAUACGGAAUGGGAGGCCCCCCCCCCCAGCCUCGGAUCAGGAGGAGCCCUACCUGAGCCCCCUGAGGUCAGCUUUCCCCGGAGCCACCCUUGGGCUCGGAGGGUGCACCUCCCACCAACGGUGUGAUGCUUUCUGGCACGAGUCAUCGAAAGAGGACUUCUCCUGCUUCUGUU